Molecule: ribosomal RNA, 500 nt
Filed under: uncultured bacterium
Lineage: Bacteria
Description: partial 16S ribosomal RNA
Rfam family: Bacterial small subunit ribosomal RNA
Source: RNAcentral
GACGAACGCUGGCGGCGUGCUUAACACAUGCAAGUCGAACGGGUCUGCCCUGUUUUUUGCGGGGUGGGUCAGUGGCGAACGGGUGAGUAACACGUGAGUAACCUGCCCCUCACUUCUGGAUAACCGCUUGAAAGGGUGGCUAAUACGGGGUGUUCUGGCUGUGCCGCAUGGUGUGGCUGGGAAAGAUUCACUUUUGUGGUGUUUUGGUGGGGGAUGGGCUCGCGGCCUAUCAGCUUGUUGGUGGGGUGAUGGCCUGCCAAGGCUUUGACGGGUAGCCGGCCUGAGAGGGUGGGCGGUCACACUGGGACUGAGAUACGGCCCAGACUCCUGCGGGAGGCAGCAGUGGGGGGUAUUGCACAAUGGGCGGAAGCCUGAUGCAGCGGCGUCGCGUGAGGGAUGGAGGCCUUCGGGUUGUGAACCUCUUUCGCCGGUGAAGAAGGUCCUGCUCUUUGGGGUGGGGUUGACGGUAGCCGGGUUAUGAAGCGCCGGCUAACUACGUG